GACGAACGCUGGCGGCGUGCUUAACACAUGCAAGUCGAACGGAAAGGCCCUGCUUUUGUGGGGUGCUCGAGUGGCGAACGGGUGAGUAACACGUGAGUAACCUGCCCUUGACUUUGGGAUAACUUCAGGAAACUGGGGCUAAUACCGGAUAGGAGCUCCUGCUGCAUGGUGGGGGUUGGAAAGUUUCGGCGGUUGGGGAUGUACUCUCGGCUUAUCAGCUGGUUGGUGGGGUAGUGGCUUACCAAGGCUUUGACGGGUAGCCGGCGUGAGAGGGUGACCGGCCACAUUGGGACUGAGAGACGGCCCAGACUGCUACGGUAGGCAGCAGUGGGGAAUAUUGCACAAUGGGCGGAAGCCUGAUGCAGCAACGCCGCGUGCGGGAUGACGGCCUUCGGGUGGUAAACCGCUGUCGCCUGUGACGAAGCGUGAGUGACGGUAAUGGGUAAAGAAGCACCGGCUAACUACGUG
This 468-nucleotide ribosomal RNA is filed under the name uncultured bacterium. RNAcentral describes it as "partial 16S ribosomal RNA". It matches the Rfam family "Bacterial small subunit ribosomal RNA", at positions 28 to 507 of the family's 1533-position model. The record is from RNAcentral.